RNAcentral lists this ribosomal RNA (496 nucleotides) under uncultured bacterium. RNAcentral's name for it is "bacterial SSU rRNA". It matches the Rfam family "Bacterial small subunit ribosomal RNA", at positions 29 to 524 of the family's 1533-position model. The record is from RNAcentral.
AGCGAACGUUUGCGGCGGGCCUAACACAUGCAAGUCGAACGCACUAGCAAUAGUGAGUGGCGCACGGGUGCGUAACACGUGGGUAAUCAACCCUUCAGCUUGGGAUAACGACUUGAAAGGGUCGCUAAUACCGGAUACGGCGCGGGAGGCUUCGGCUUCUCACGAGAAAGCCUCGCAAGGGGCACUGAAGGACGAGCCUGCGGCCCAUCAGCUAGUUGGUGAGGUAAGAGCUCACCAAGGCGAAGACGGGUAGCUGGUCUGAGAGGAUGAUCAGCCACACUGGAACUGAGACACGGUCCAGACUCCUACGGGAGGCAGCAGUGGGGAAUAUUGCGCAAUGGGCGAAAGCCUGACGCAGCCACGCCGCGUGAGCGAUGAAGGCCUUCGGGUCGUAAAGCUCUAUGGGGAGAGACGAAGAAAGACCCGUGAAGAGCGGGCCGUUGACGGUAUCUCCUUAGCAAGCACCGGCUAACUCCGUGCCAGCAGCCGCGGUAAU